This 305-nucleotide ribosomal RNA is filed under the name uncultured bacterium. RNAcentral describes it as "bacterial SSU rRNA". It matches the Rfam family "Bacterial small subunit ribosomal RNA", at positions 338 to 656 of the family's 1533-position model. The record is from RNAcentral.
CCUACGGGGCGCAGCAGUGGGGAAUAUUGGACAAUGGGGGGAACCCUGAUCCAGCGACGCCGCGUGAGUGAAGAAGUAUUUCGGUAUGUAAAGCUCUAUCAGCAGGGAAGAAAGAAAAUGACGGUACCUGAGUAAGAAGCCCCGGCUAACUACGUGCCAGCAGCCGCGGUAAUACGUAGGGGGCAAGCGUUAUCCGGAUUUACUGGGUGUAAAGGGAGCGUAGACGGCAGUGCAAGUCUGGAGUGAAAGGCGGGGGCUCAACCCCCGGACUGCUCUGGAAACUGUACGGCUGGAGUGCAGGAGAG